Molecule: non-coding RNA, 2245 nt
Organism: Pelodiscus sinensis (Chinese soft-shelled turtle)
Lineage: Eukaryota; Metazoa; Chordata; Testudines; Trionychidae
Source: RefSeq, a predicted model, not a curated record
GUUACCGAUCCAACAGUCUGAAGGUAGAAAGUAUCUGCAGUAGUCUGGGUAUGUGCGUACCACAUGUUUGUACAUAAACAGAGGAAGAGCAGCUAGUCUUCCUCUCCUUCACCCCUGUGGAUGUUUCAAUGUACAGAAUUCUUGAAUCAAGAACCCUUCUUCUUCUACCAAUGCCUCUAAAUAGGUCACAAAUACACUGUGCAGAGUCCUUCCCGAAUGCAGAAAGCAGUGGGUCACACUAUGAGUUAAGGUUGAAUUUAUUACGCUUGAUUUUUUUCAGCACCCGAUUUUUUAAAGUCAAAGGUGCAUGUCCCCACUGUGCGCAAGAAUUCGACGCAGUUCAAAGCAGCGCAUCCUCAGGCGGGUGGCGCAUCAGUUUUGACAAUGAUGCACUGUGAGUAGCUAUCCCACAAUUCCUGCACCCCUUUGUAUUCUGGAUUAUGCUCCCAGUACAUGCAAGGACCAACACUGUGCAGUGGGUGGUUCUGGAUACGUUAUCAGCGUCCCAUAAUGCACUCAUCUCCUCCCUUGCCCUCGCUUGAAAGCAAUGGCAAACAGUCACUUCACGCCCUUUUUCCCCCUGGUUAUCCACGCAGAUGCCAUAGCAACGUAAGCAUGGAACCCAUUGUGGAUCCUGUUGAGCAUCAAAGCAUUACAGCAAUCGUAUUAAGUGUGGUGAACCUUAUCCUGGAGUAUAUCCAGGGUCCGCCAGAAUGAGGAAGAAUCUUGGGAGGCGAUGAACAUACCCUUUUGUGAAGCACUUGAGUUGAGUCACUGGCAAAUGCCACCAGCAUUCUAUCCUCUGGACACAGUGGAACACAGUGGAAGCACAGACUGAUGGGACCAUAUAGUUAUGCAGGCAUGGGAUGAUCAGCAGUGGCUGCAAAAUUUCCACAUGCGUAAGGCCACUUCCACAGAAGUUUGAAAAUUGCUUUCCCCUGCCCUGAAGCACAAGGCUACAUACUGAGACCUGCUCUGAGAGUGGAGAAGUGAGUGGCUACUGUCCUAUGGAAGACUGCAAAGCCAGACAGCUACCGCACUUUUCAUCAGUGGAUCUCAUAGCCCUUUAUAAAGAAAAGAACAUUGAAACUCCAUCUGCAACCAAGGACGGUAGAGAAGGAACCAAGGAAGGUUGACUCAUGCAUGUGAUAUGUAAAGAUGUGAACACCAUGAGACACCUAUGGCAUGUGCGUGGUCUAACCAACUACUGCUGGAAAAAUCUGCAAUCUGUGGUGCCAGGACAAUCGAACACCUACAGUGGAGCACCCACAGGGACACAGCUCAAAGAAGAAGUACAGAGGAAAGCUUUCAUAGCUUUUUUAAGCAUGGCACUUAAAAGAAUUCUGGUUAAAAAUUAUUAAGGGCAUGCUAUGGUUCUUGCAGUAUUUCGGAUAAAUUCUAAGUGACCACAUAAGUUCUGAAUGAUGUGUAUAGCCAACCAAUCUAAUAAGCCUACCAAUACCACAUGGCAAUCUGGUUAGUUUCAUACAACAAUAAAGCAUAAAGAUGUCAUUAAUUAGUGUUCUUACUCUAUGGUAUAUUUGAGAGCAUAUCUGUCUGUUCAAUAAUUCCUCCUAAAUGUUAAGAGCUAGGACUACCAAAUUUGGUAUACAGCUUCCUCUUAUUAUAACCUAAAGCAGGUAAGGGUUUGAUUAUGCCAGGAAAAUGGGAUGUGCCUGGAAUGGGAUUGCUUCUCGGAAAAACAUACUGAAGACAGAGAGAAUCACCAGGCAGGUGAAAGGGGCUGCCUAGGGGUGUUUUUCCCAGCCCUGAGCCUCCCGCCCCAGACACGCUUCAGAGAGAUGGAGGGGGGCCUGAAGCAUCUCCCCCCCACACACAUCCGAUUUGCACAGGGAUAUUGCUGGCUGUUCCCCUUUGCCAGAGAGAGGAAAGUGGGGGGCAUGUACUCCUUCCCUGGGCAGACUGCAUACUAAACCCCUUAGCUUCAGCCCCCACCCCAGAGCAAGGAUUUAAAUGAAGUAUGUACAUUUUCAUUUUAUUUUCCAAAAAACAAACAUUUGAGCUGAGGACCCGAGCAACAGUGGGUAAAUCUUCUCGUUUACCUAUAAAUGAAAAAUGAUAGAAAUACUUCUAUUGAAGUGUUCAGGGACACAAGAACUAUCGUAUAGGAAAAGAAUGAGUAGCAAAUUCAGUCAGGUCUCCUCCUCCUGCCAUGCCAGACCAAACCAAAUGACCCAUCGAUGCUAAUGCCUCAGUCAGCGGCCCAUGCAAUAAAUUUCAGAAG